AAAAUGCGAUAAGUAAUGUGAAUUGCAGAAUUCAGUGAAUCAUCGAAUCUUUGAACGCACAUUGCGCCCGCCAGUAUUCUGGCGGGCAUGCCUGUUCGAGCGUCAUUUCAACCCUCAAGCCCCCGGGUUUGGUGUUGGGGAUCGGGCUGCGGUUCUACCGCGUCCCGGCCCCGAAAUCUAGUGGCGGUCUCGCUGCAGCCUCCAUUGCGUAGUAGCUAACACCUCGCAACUGGAACGCGGCGCGGCCAAGCCGUUAAACCCCCAACUUUUGAAUGUUGACCUCGGAUCAGGUAGGAAUACCCGCUGAACUUAAGC
This 315-nucleotide unclassified non-coding RNA is filed under the name plant metagenome. Its description in RNAcentral is "partial contains 5.8S ribosomal RNA, internal transcribed spacer 2, and large subunit ribosomal RNA". The stretch from base 1 to 105 matches the Rfam family "5.8S ribosomal RNA", at positions 50 to 154 of the family's 154-position model. The record is from RNAcentral.